This 85-nucleotide transfer RNA is filed under the name Pseudomonadota bacterium. RNAcentral's name for it is "Proteobacteria bacterium (mine drainage metagenome) tRNA-Ile". It matches the Rfam family "tRNA". Rfam says of the family: Transfer RNA (tRNA) molecules are approximately 80 nucleotides in length. Their secondary structure includes four short double-helical elements and three loops (D, anti-codon, and T loops). RNAcentral also lists the same sequence under 1 other name. Lineage: Bacteria; Pseudomonadati; Pseudomonadota. The record is from RNAcentral.
GGAGGGGUGGCUGAGAGGCCGAAGGCAGCCGCCUGAUAAGCGGUAAUACCGCAAGGUAUCGCGGGUUCGAAUCCCGCUCCCUAUA